Molecule: ribosomal RNA, 459 nt
Filed under: Alpheus lottini
Lineage: Eukaryota; Metazoa; Arthropoda; Malacostraca; Decapoda; Alpheidae
Description: partial 16S ribosomal RNA
Rfam family: Bacterial large subunit ribosomal RNA
Source: RNAcentral
AAGGGCCACGGUAUACUAACCGUGCGAAGGUAGCAUAGUCAAUAGUCUCUUAAAUGUAGGCGUGAAGGAACGGUCUGACAYGAGGGGGGUUGUCUCGGCGUGGGGGGGUGAAAAUUUAUUUUGUGUGAAAAAGGGCUWUAGGGGUUUGGGGGGACGAUAAGACCCUAUAAAACUUGAUGGGGGGUUGUUUGGGUCUAGGGUUAAGGGUAAGGGGGGGCCAGGCGGCACCCAUUGUGCUGGGGCGGCARAAAUGUAAGUGGUAACCGUUUGUUUGGGCAAAAUAAUUAUAAUUGGYUUUGACCCUGAAUUUGGGGUUAGAAGUGUAAGUUACUUUAGGGAUAACAGCAUUAUUUCUCUUGAGAGUUCAUAUCGACAGAKAUAUUUGCGACCUUGAUGUUGAAUUAAAGCUUUUCUGGGAGCAGGAGUUCGGAAAGAGGGGUCUGUUCCACCCUUGAAGCU